AAUUGUUGAUUAUUAAUUCAUGUUCCUUCACAAUCUUAUAUUAUUGUUGAACAUUGAAGGCAAUAUUUCUUUCUACGUCAUGAUAUAUCUCCUUUGUCUUUAUAAACUUGUGAAGCAAAUUAGUUGCUUACUCUUGCUAUAUCAUGACCUCUAUUUUAAGUUAAGCCCGUAGGAUCUAAUGCGAAGGACAAGGGCAAGGGCAAGAUCUAGGAGUAAUUUUAGAAUGAAUGUUAAAUUAGUUAUUAUCUAAUGGAAUUUCU
This 260-nucleotide long non-coding RNA is filed under the name Panax ginseng (ginseng). Its description in RNAcentral is "long non-coding RNA (PGIN_LNC001443)". Lineage: Eukaryota; Viridiplantae; Streptophyta; Magnoliopsida; Apiales; Araliaceae. The record is from RNAcentral.